RNAcentral lists this long non-coding RNA (240 nucleotides) under Elaeis guineensis (African oil palm). Its description in RNAcentral is "long non-coding RNA (EGUI_LNC044415)". The record is from RNAcentral. Lineage: Eukaryota; Viridiplantae; Streptophyta; Magnoliopsida; Arecales; Arecaceae.
CUCUAGGCGUCUCCUCUCUCUAUGCAUGGAGAUUGUUGUCACCCAACCCUUGGACAUUGGCCCCUUCUUUAUAGACCCAAAACCCUCAUGGAAACCCAACUCCUGGGCAUCCACAAAUCUUGAUUUCAAUUAGGAGUCAAACUCCUAAGCCAGUCCAACACCUAGGCAUGUGGACUUUCUAUACCUGAUGCCCGACCUUUAGGCAUCAACACACAAAGGCAUGAAGCCUUUCUAGCAUGG